RNAcentral lists this ribosomal RNA (788 nucleotides) under uncultured marine eukaryote. RNAcentral's name for it is "bacterial SSU rRNA". It matches the Rfam family "Eukaryotic small subunit ribosomal RNA", at positions 609 to 1424 of the family's 1831-position model. The record is from RNAcentral.
GUUGUUGCGGUUAAAAAGCUCGUAGUUGGAUUUCUGUUGAGGUUGGGCGGUCCGCACUACGUGCGAGUAUCUGCUUCGGCCUUGGCAUCCUCUCGGAAAACGCUACUGUGCUUGAUUGCAUGGUGCGGGGUUCGGGACUUUUACUUUGAGGAAAUUAGAGUGUUCACGGCAGGCAAUCGCCCUGAAUAUAUUAGCAUGGAAUAAUAAUAUAGGAUCUGAUGCCUAUUUUGUUGGUUUCUAGGCGUGAGAUAAUGAUUAAUAGGGACAAUUGGGGGGAUUCGUAUUAUGGCGUCAGAGGUGGAAUUCUUGGAUUGCCAUACGACGAACUACUGCGAAAGCAUUUCUCAGGGAUGUUUUCAUUGAUCAAGAACGAAAGUAAGGGGAUCGAAGAUGAUUAGAUACCAUCGUAGUCUUUACCAUAAACUAUGCCAACUAGAGAUGGGGCGUCGUUCAUUUAUGACCCGCUCUGCACCUUAUGAGAAAUCAAAGUUUUCGGGUUCCGGGGGGAGUAUGGUCGCAAGGCUGAAACUUAAAGGAAUUGACGGAAGGGCACCACCAGGCGUGGAGCUUGCGGCUCAAUUUGACUCAACACGGGAAAACUUACCAGGUCCAGACAUAGUAAGGAUUGACAGAUUGAUAGCUCUUUCUUGAUUUUAUGGGUGGUGGUGCAUGGCCGUUCUUAGUUGGUGGAGUGAUUUGUCUGGUUAAUUCCGUUAACGAACGAGACCUUUGCCUGCUAACUAGUCUCGUCCAUCUCGAUGGACGUAGAUCUUCUUAGAGGGACUUUG